UUGAAAAGUCAAUUCCUCGCGGAAGGGAAAUAAUAUACAGUGUCUCCUUCAGGCUGACACUCGGGCCGCCUGGUGCAGGGGGCUGUUUACUCGCUAGGGAGAGACCUCAGAGCUCCCACUGCCUUUUCUGUCUGGGGAUUUCUAUGCUGUAGCCAGCGCUGCACAAAAUCAAGUCUGCGGCUGCAAAAUCUGCUCCAGCCGAAGAGGUCUGAUUGACCCCCGGAGACUCUAUGGAUGACUGGAGAACUAGCAUGUUGAUGACAUCACAGAUCCCAAUGAAGUGAAACCACAUUCGCUGAGAGGGGAAAUUGUUUUUUUUCAGCCUCUUUAACCCUGGCUCCAGUUUGGUUUUCGGAUCGCCCGUUUAACUCAAACACCCAGCAAAACGAUAGAAGAGAUGACAUUUUUGUUAAAGAUUCAUAUUCCCCUGACCCUUGCAUUAAAGACUGAGAAAAUGGCCACCGCACAGCUGAGACCCCGCCCCUCAGAAGAGUAAAGGCACAGUGCAGAGGAAUAGCAUCACCACUUCACUCUGUAUACACAGCAAAGGGCUGACAAUUGUUCCCUCAUGGUGGUGGAAACACUGCUCCCCCAGGAGAUCCAAAGGAGCUGUGAAGUGUGUCCCAGGUGCCCUGUUUGCAUCCUCUGUCCCCAACAUAGAAGUGUUGACCUGCAGGCUGCCAGGAGUGGGUUGAUGGCCGUCUUACGCUAAUGUAACUUCCCAGCUAGUGGACUUACAUAUCCCUGGGGCUCUAAACUCACUGGCCCAAACUGAAUGGAGCCCUAAGCCUUUAUACAAUCUACCACUCAGUUGCUGAUAAAUAAAAAAGACUCGGAGCUUUCUGUUGUCAUUUACAACAGUGCAAAGUGAGUGUAUAAUGCCACCAAAUCUUGGAUGAGCUUUUCACAGCCCCCAAAGGACACCUAUUUCCCAUUCACGCAGUUGAAUGGGAUCUGGCUGUUCAAAUCUCUCCGGUGCCUUUGAGAAUGUCAGCCCUACUCGCUCUCAGAAGGCAAAUGAAAAGAACCCAUUAUUAUUAUUUUUUUUACUCUCAUCAUUUUAAAGACACUCUCAAGAUUUUGACCCCUUGAGGUUGGAAAUGCAGUACAGCACUCGUGAAAGGGUUUCCUGCCACGUGACCACCCACCAACUGAGAGCUGGUAGCGUUCAUGUGAUCUGUCAAUGUUCAAUGCUAUCAGAUGAUUUUUUUUUUUGGACUCCCCAAUUUCAGAUAAAUUGCGUUUCCUUAUUAGGCUGUCAGGGCAUCGUUUGAACCUGGAACUUUGGUUACUUUCAGUGCCAGGGUGGCGUUAGCAUCCUGGUGUAGUUCAGGGGCGGAGUUAGAACCUUAGUGUAGUUCGGGGGUGGGGGGCAGAGGGAAUGUUAGAACCUGGGUGUGUUUCAAUGGCAGGGGGGGCAGUGUUACCCCCAGGCUGAUAAAGAUUUUCAUGGAAUUUGGGAGUGCAAAAGACCAUUGUACUGCCAACAUAGUUCAGAAGCGUUUUGUUAGCUCUAGGCAGAAUUUCCCGACAGAAUGUUUGUUGUUUAUGUUCGAGAUGGACAAAGCUCUGUGGGAGGAGUGGGCUUGGAUCUGGUUCCUGUAUUUAGAUGAAACCAUAGCCCCCUCUCACGCCAAAACCUUAGGAAAGUGGAAGCGUUCAGAGAGAUGGUUCAGGUGUUGCUCCAGCUGGUUUAUUUAUAUACGGCUAUAUCCCCAUCUGUGCUGAAUUACCAAUCCUUUGAGUUGAUUUAUGUGUGUCCUUAUUGCCUCAUUCUCAAUCAGGCUCAUUCGUGCUUUCCUUUAUUUUUCCAAUCCUUCCUUCUGGGCUGCUGUGUUAAUCACCUGAGAUGAGAGAAGCUGUCUGUUGUCAUGGCGACUCCAUCUCUGCUCUGGGCUUCCUGGGCAUUCUUUCAGCGUAUGGCGUCCAGGUGCAGUUUCUCUGGCCACUGUUACAGUUGUUCUUGAAUGUCAUGCAAACAAAGCAGAGUGCCCAGAGGCCUGCUGGUUUUUGUGAGCUGUCAUUGGAGAGAGAUGGGUCAGCAGAGGAAAAAGAGCUGUGACGAAUUAGACAGCAGUUGCUGUUCCAAAGCUCUUUAGCUGCUGAUAAAUGGAGCGGAGACUGCAAGUGACUCCAGAGGAGCCAGUGAGGCUUUCAGAUCGGGCGUGUGUGUUGUGAUUAGCAGAUGGUGGCACGAACCCGGGUUUCAUUUGUGUCCUCAGCCCUCAAGCUCGCUGUGAUACAGACAGGAAGGGGUGGGACUGACUGGCCGGCAAGGUCAGGCAGAGAUGUACAGCACUGAUGAGGAGAUCUUAAUCAGAGAUCAUUGUAAAUUCUCCUCUCAAAUGGACUGGAAUAAAGCUAUGAAGCUAAUAUAACAUCA
Chrysemys picta bellii (western painted turtle) is the source of this 2383-nucleotide long non-coding RNA. RefSeq lists it as uncharacterized. The record is from RefSeq and is a predicted model, not a curated record. NCBI's taxonomy places the organism in Eukaryota, Metazoa, Chordata, Testudines, Emydidae.